CAACUGCGAUAAGUAGUGUGAACUGCAGAAACUUUGAACACUGAUCAUUCGAAUGCACAUUGCGCCAUUGGAGUUACAUCCUUUGGCACGUCUGGUUCAGGGUCGUUAUCCAAAAACGCGCAGCAGAUGCGUGUUCAAUUCGGUGAAAAUAUGAACAGCAAGCCUAGCCCGAGGGCACUGUUAUCAAAACGUGGUGCAUGCCGAAAGAGGGUAUGGAGUGAUGCUGGCGCGGAAUCUGUAUGUGUUUUGUUCCGUGUCUUGCGCACCGCAACUGGGGCGUCACUCUCUGGCUCUCUUAAGGUAGUCAAAAGUGUUGACAUCUAAUUAAUUAGUCGCACAUCGACCUGAACUCAGACGUGAGCACCCGCUGAACUUAA
RNAcentral lists this unclassified non-coding RNA (377 nucleotides) under uncultured fungus. Its description in RNAcentral is "sequence contains ITS1". The stretch from base 1 to 105 matches the Rfam family "5.8S ribosomal RNA", at positions 50 to 154 of the family's 154-position model. The record is from RNAcentral. Lineage: Eukaryota; Fungi.